AUUUUCAUUGCUUUCUAUCGUAACGGUAGAUGAAGAAACGUUGUUUUGUCGGAGAGUUCGUUUGAAUCGUCGGGGGUGGUGAACGAGGAAGAUCACGGGGGUGCAUACAUCAACCUGAAGGUCAAGUGACAGCUCGAAAUGGAGGAUGGGGAUGUAAUAAUGCUUCAUCAGACAUGAGUUGCUGUUGCCUGAAGGAUGUGAUCAUCGUUUACCCUGCAUCAUAAGUAGAAUUAGUUUAACAAGAGGUGAGGCCCAAGAUGCAUCUGCUAUCAGCUACUAUACAGACAUUGGUGCUAAGCUUUGUAUGCUUAGCGGAUGACAUUUUAUGCGUCCUUGCUUUUACAUAUUUUAAUGCAACGAGGCUGUUUUCCAAGCUCAAACACACGUAAUCUUCUUAUCAUAGCGGAGUAAUCUUACCCCGGCUCCAAGACUCGUCCUCUUCUACAACCAUAUGAGCGAAGAAGCACCGACGAAUUAGCUUGAUAUAUGCUAUGUGGGGAUCUCUUCCUUCUCCCUUUAUCCUUCCUUAAUUCUUGGAAGGCUGGUCCAAUUUGGUUCAUGGUGCUAUGUUAUGGUAAGAGUUUAGUGGACUAACGAAUUGCCAUUAUUGUACUGUCCCUUCUCAGUUGUAAAAGUGAAAGUUUAAUUCUUCGUUAGACAGUGAUUACCAUUGUGACUUUCUUGAAUAUCAAUCAUGUUUUAACUUUUAAGUUGUGAAAUUCAUACUAAGAAUGC
Long non-coding RNA from Gastrolobium bilobum, 735 nucleotides. RefSeq lists it as uncharacterized. The record is from RefSeq and is a predicted model, not a curated record. NCBI's taxonomy places the organism in Eukaryota, Viridiplantae, Streptophyta, Magnoliopsida, Fabales, Fabaceae. The transcript is spliced from 3 exons.